CAGCAGCCACGGUAAUACGUAGGGUGCAAGCGUUGUCCGGAAUUAUUGGGCGUAAAGAGCUCGUAGGCGGUUUGUCGCGUCUGCUGUGAAAUCCCGAGGCUCAACCUCGGGCUUGCAGUGGGUACGGGCAGACUAGAGUGCGGUAGGGGAGAUUGGAAUUCCUGGUGUAGCGGUGGAAUGCGCAGAUAUCAGGAGGAACACCGAUGGCGAAGGCAGAUCUCUGGGCCGUAACUGACGCUGAGGAGCGAAAGCGUGGGGAGCGAACAGGAUUAGAUACCCCAGUAGUCCCUGUCUCUUAUAA
This 301-nucleotide ribosomal RNA is filed under the name uncultured bacterium. RNAcentral describes it as "partial 16S ribosomal RNA". It matches the Rfam family "Bacterial small subunit ribosomal RNA", at positions 509 to 809 of the family's 1533-position model. The record is from RNAcentral.